RNAcentral lists this ribosomal RNA (274 nucleotides) under uncultured bacterium. RNAcentral describes it as "partial 16S ribosomal RNA". It matches the Rfam family "Bacterial small subunit ribosomal RNA", at positions 79 to 353 of the family's 1533-position model. The record is from RNAcentral.
CUAAGUUUGAUGGCGACCGGCGCACGGGUGAGUAACACGUAUCCAACCUGCCGAUGACUCGGGGAUAGCCUUUCGAAAGAAAGAUUAAUACCCGAUGGCAUAGUUCUUCCGCAUGGUAGAACUAUUAAAGGAUUUCGGCAUCGAUGGGGAUGCGUUCCAUUAGGUUGUUGGCGGGGUAACGGCCCACCAAGCCUUCGAUGGAUAGGGGUUCUGAGAGGAAGGUCCCCCACAUUGGAACUGAGACACGGUCCAAACUCCUACGGGAGGCAGCAUG